Molecule: ribosomal RNA, 149 nt
Filed under: Cassipourea guianensis
Lineage: Eukaryota; Viridiplantae; Streptophyta; Magnoliopsida; Malpighiales; Rhizophoraceae
Description: 5.8S ribosomal RNA
Rfam family: 5.8S ribosomal RNA
About the family: 5.8S ribosomal RNA (5.8S rRNA) is a component of the large subunit of the eukaryotic ribosome. It is transcribed by RNA polymerase I as part of the 45S precursor that also contains 18S and 28S rRNA. Functionally, it is thought that 5.8S rRNA may be involved in ribosome translocation.
Source: RNAcentral
AACGGAUAUCUCGGCUCUCGCAUCGAUGAAGAACGUAGCGAAAUGCGAUACUUGGUGUGAAUUGCAGAAUCCCGUGAACCAUCGAGUCUUUGAACGCAAGUUGCGCCCGAAGCCUUUCGGCCGAGGGCACGUCUGCCUGGGUGUCACGC